Non-coding RNA from Danio rerio (zebrafish), 194 nucleotides. The record is from RefSeq and is a predicted model, not a curated record. Lineage: Eukaryota; Metazoa; Chordata; Actinopteri; Cypriniformes; Danionidae.
GCCUUGGAUUGUUGAGGGACAUGGACUCCCAUAUUGGAAACGCCUGCAUGAAGCUUAUUUGUGAAAUGGCUCGACAAAUUGGCAAGGACAUAUACAUUGAGGACUUUUAUGUUGUCCCUGUGUGGAAAGAAACUCCUAACAACAUUGUUACUGGAUUACCGGAAGAUGCAGACUUGAAAGACCUGUUAGCCUUU